GGAGAGGUGGCCGAGUGGCCGAAGGCGCUCCCCUGCUAAGGGAGUAUGGGCGUUAAAUCCCAUCGAGGGUUCGAAUCCCUCCCUCUCCG
RNAcentral lists this transfer RNA (89 nucleotides) under Shewanella benthica KT99. RNAcentral's name for it is "tRNA-Ser". It matches the Rfam family "tRNA". From Rfam's summary of the family: Transfer RNA (tRNA) molecules are approximately 80 nucleotides in length. Their secondary structure includes four short double-helical elements and three loops (D, anti-codon, and T loops). The record is from RNAcentral. Lineage: Bacteria; Pseudomonadati; Pseudomonadota; Gammaproteobacteria; Alteromonadales; Shewanellaceae.